Molecule: long non-coding RNA, 1212 nt
Organism: Stomoxys calcitrans (stable fly)
Lineage: Eukaryota; Metazoa; Arthropoda; Insecta; Diptera; Muscidae
Exons: 3
Source: RefSeq, a predicted model, not a curated record
UGAUCAAAACACACCGGAUCUGCUUGUAUACUACUAUAUAACUGUACUCGUUUUCAAAGCAAUCAAUAAGGAGAUACCGUAUCACCGUAGCUCAUUGAGCCUAAACUUAUAUCGGAAAUCAUUCAAUGAGGUAAGAAAACAGGAAAAACCAUAAGCUGACAAUAUUUGUCAGUAUAUAUAUCCCAUUAAAGUUCUCUACCUGUCUUUGUUUAUGUCCAAAGUUUGUCCACGUUUUUUUGUAGUUUGCGAAUUUUGAUGACAACGAUUCAAUCGGCUAUUUAUACAAAUUAGGGUCCCGUCACGGGACGACUAUAAGCACCACACGGGUUGAAAUCCUGAGCUCCAAUUUGUGUGGUUUUCAUCAUCUACAGUGUGCGGAUAGUGGGAUGCUUCCUAUACGGAGUAGUUGAAAUUCCAGUCGUGGACAAUUAGCGGUAUCAAGUGGGGAGUAUCUGUGAGAGGCCUGCGGCAUCGGAUCUUUCUUUAAUUCUGAGUGCCCGUGAUACUUGCGAGUUAUUGGCACCUUUAAAUAACCAAUGGCCAUAACGUUCUCGCUGCGAUCUAUCCCAUAGACCGGAACGAGCUUGCUCACCAACAGAGCUUGGCUAAGAAUGCCAUCUCCUCAUACCAAUGUGACUACAACACCAACAAUUAAGGGUCAUUUGAAGGUUUUAACAGCAGUUUCCAUCAUCUUUGACCAAAAUUCAUUUUUGAGGUUCUUUUGAAAGUUGAAAGUUUUGGCACGGAACCAUAUUAAGUUCUGGCAACCCUACGAUCAUCGUCAGCUUGCUUUAUUGCUCUCCCCUGCUGUUGCUGCUUCACACACAUAAGUAACAACAAACAUAAAUGUGUAAGUAUGGGAGAUGUGAUUGCAUUAAUACACCAUACAGCAACAAUAAUAACAACAACAACAAUAAGACAACACUGGAAAACAUUUCUUGCUGCCUUUUUGAUGUUAUUGUUGUAUAUGUGUCUGUUGUUGCUUGGGCUAACUCUAGCUGUAGCUAUAGCUAACUAGCUUUCUGUCUGUCCCUAAAGAAACUUCUCUUGUUUUGUUGUCUUUUCGUUGUGUAUUGCGACGAAGACCACAAACUAACAGCAACAGCAACAACUAUAGCAGCCAAUAAAACAGAAAACACAAAGAAAAAACUAUUUAUGUUAAAUAUACGCAGAAAUGUGAAAUAUAAAUUCAAAUUAAAGAAGAAACUUGAA